GUACUGGAGGCACUGCCUGCCCAGUGACAUUAGUUAAACGGCCGCGGUAUCCUGACCGUGCAAAGGUAGCAUAAUCAUUUGUUCCUUAAAUAGGGACUUGUAUGAAUGGCCACACGAGGGCUUUACUGUCUCUUACUUCCAAUCCGUGAAAUUGACCUUCCCGUGAAGAGGCGGGAAUACGACAAUAAGACGAGAAGACCCUGUGGAGCUUUAAUUAAUCGACCCAAAGAGACCUUAAUAACCAACCGACAGGAACAACAGACCUCUGCCAUGGGCCGACAAUUUAGGUUGGGGUGACCUCGGAGAAUAAAACAACCUCCGAGUGAUUUAAAUCUAGACUAACCAGUCGAAAGUAUUACAUCACUUAUUGAUCCAAAGCUUGAUCAACGGAACAAGUUACCCCAGGGAUAACAGCGCAAUCCUAUUUCAGAGUCCAUAUCGACAAUAGGGUUUACGACCUCGAUGUUGGAUCAGGACAUCCCGAUGGUGCAGCAGCUAUCAAAGGUUCGUUUGUUCAACGAUUAAAGUCCUACGUGAUCUGAUUCCAGACCGGA
Molecule: ribosomal RNA, 554 nt
Filed under: Panthera tigris (tiger)
Lineage: Eukaryota; Metazoa; Chordata; Mammalia; Carnivora; Felidae
Description: partial large subunit ribosomal RNA
Rfam family: Bacterial large subunit ribosomal RNA
Source: RNAcentral